This 433-nucleotide ribosomal RNA is filed under the name uncultured bacterium. RNAcentral describes it as "partial 16S ribosomal RNA". It matches the Rfam family "Bacterial small subunit ribosomal RNA", at positions 29 to 507 of the family's 1533-position model. The record is from RNAcentral.
AGCGAACGCUGGCGGCAGGUCUAACACAUGCAAGUCGAACGAACUCUUCGGAGUUAGUGGCGGACGGGUGAGUAACACGUGGGAACGUGCCUUUUGGUUCGGAAUAACUCAGGGAAACUUGUGCUAAUACCGAAUGUGCCCUUCGGGGGAAAGAUUUAUCGCCAUUAGAGCGGCCCGCGUCUGAUUAGCUAGUUGGUGAGGUAACGGCUCACCAAGGCGACGAUCAGUAGCUGGUCUGAGAGGAUGACCAGCCACACUGGGACUGAGACACGGCCCAGACUCCUACGGGAGGCAGCAGUGGGGAAUCUUGCGCAAUGGGCGAAAGCCUGACGCAGCCAUGCCGCGUGAAUGAUGAAGGUCUUAGGAUUGUAAAAUUCUUUCACCGGGGACGAUAAUGACGGUACCCGGAGAAGAAGCCCCGGCUAACUUCGUG